UUCGGGGGACAGAGUGACAGGUGGUGCAUGGUUGUCGUCAGCUCGUGUCGUGAGAUGUUGGGUUAAGUCCCGCAACGAGCGCAACCCUUGAUCUUAGUUGCCAGCAUUCAGUUGGGCACUCUAAGGUGACUGCCGGUGACAAACCGGAGGAAGGUGGGGAUGACGUCAAAUCAUCAUGCCCCUUAUGACCUGGGCUACACACGUGCUACAAUGGAUGGUACAAAGGGCUGCAAACCUGCGAAGGUAAGCGAAUCCCAUAAAGCCAUUCUCAGUUCGGAUUGCAGGCUGCAACUCGCCUGCAUGAAGCCGGAAUCGCUAGUAAUCGCGGAUCAGCAUGCCGCGGUGAAUACGUUCCCGGGCCUUGUACACACCGCCCGUCACACCACGAGAGUUUGUAACACCCGAAGUCGGUGAGGUAACCUUCAUGGAGCCAGCCGCCUAAGGUGGGACAGAUGAUUGGGGUGAAGUCGUAACAAGGUAGCCGUAUCGGAAGGUGCGG
RNAcentral lists this ribosomal RNA (499 nucleotides) under uncultured Bacillus sp. RNAcentral's name for it is "bacterial SSU rRNA". It matches the Rfam family "Bacterial small subunit ribosomal RNA", at positions 1018 to 1517 of the family's 1533-position model. Lineage: Bacteria; Bacillati; Bacillota; Bacilli; Caryophanales; Bacillaceae. The record is from RNAcentral.